GACGAACGCUGGCGGCGUGCUUAACACAUGCAAGUCGAACGGUAAGGCCCUUCGGGGUACACGAGUGGCGAACGGGUGAGUAACGCGUGAGUAACCUGCCCUUGACUCUGGGAUAACAGAUAGAAAUGUCUGCUAAUACCGGAUACUCAGCCUCGCAGGCAUCUGUGAGGCUGGAAAGCUCCGGCGGUCAAGGAUGGACUCGCGUCCUAUCAGCUUGUUGGUGGGGUAAUGGCCUACCAAGGCGACGACGGGUAGCCGGCCUGAGAGGGCGACCGGCCACAUUGGGACUGAGAUACGGCCCAAACUCCUACGGGAGGCAGCAGUGGGGAAUAUUGCACAAUGGGCGAAAGCCUGAUGCAGCAACGCCGCGUGCGGGAUGACGGCCUUCGGGUUGUAAACCGCUUUCAGCAGGGACGAAGCGCAAGUGACGGUACCUGCAGAAGAAGCACCGGCUAACUACGUG
This 463-nucleotide ribosomal RNA is filed under the name uncultured organism. RNAcentral's name for it is "bacterial SSU rRNA". It matches the Rfam family "Bacterial small subunit ribosomal RNA", at positions 28 to 507 of the family's 1533-position model. The record is from RNAcentral.